ACUGCAAUCUCGAAAGCUUUCACUGCCAGCAGAUUUUGAUUCAGACUUUUCACAACUAGAUUUCAAAGCAGCAUUCAGGCCGAUUGAUACUGGUUCAGUCACAAAACUUGCCUCAAAGCUUUUUCCUUGGGAGCCCAUCAAUGCACAUAUACUGCAGAUAAUCCAAGGUGGAAUAAAUGUAUCCUUAAUUUCAAUGCUACAAAAAAACCAUCUGAUGAUCCUUCUGCAAACUCAUUAUCUUUCCAAAUAGACCCGUUAUUAGCCGCAAUAUCUUCAACCCUUCUCAUCUUCAUGCAUUUAAUAUCAGGAGAAGUCAAAGCAGAACUUUGAA
This 331-nucleotide long non-coding RNA is filed under the name Lathyrus oleraceus (garden pea). RNAcentral describes it as "Pisum sativum (pea) long non-coding RNA (PSAT_LNC003764)". Lineage: Eukaryota; Viridiplantae; Streptophyta; Magnoliopsida; Fabales; Fabaceae. The record is from RNAcentral.